Molecule: small nuclear RNA, 107 nt
Organism: Nannospalax galili (Upper Galilee mountains blind mole rat)
Lineage: Eukaryota; Metazoa; Chordata; Mammalia; Rodentia; Spalacidae
Source: Ensembl
AUGCUCGCUUUGGCAUCACCUUUAUUAAAAUGGGAACGAUGCAGAGAAGAUUCGCAUCACCCUUGCUCAAGGAGGAUAUGCAAAUUCAUGAAGCAUUCCAUAUGAGU